Molecule: transfer RNA, 72 nt
Filed under: bacterium
Lineage: Bacteria
Description: tRNA-Arg
Rfam family: tRNA
About the family: Transfer RNA (tRNA) molecules are approximately 80 nucleotides in length. Their secondary structure includes four short double-helical elements and three loops (D, anti-codon, and T loops).
Source: RNAcentral
GCACCCGUCGUUCAACGGAUAGGACAUCGGUCUUCGGAACCGAGAAUGGGAGUUCGAUUCUCUCCGGGUGCA